CCCUUAGAUGUUCUGGGCCGCACGCGCGCUACACUGAUGAACGCAACGAGACCACCUGUACCGAAAGGCAUGGGUAAACUUGUGAAAGUUCAUCGUGAUGGGGAUAGAUUAUUGCAAUUAUUAAUCUUCAACGAGGAAUUCCUAGUAAGCGCGAGUCAUCAGCUCGCGUUGAUUACGUCCUUGCCCUUUGCACACACCGCCCGUCGCUCCUACCGAUUGAAUGGUCCGGUGAAAUCUUCGGAUUGCUGGAUAGGACUUCAUUGACCUAUCUGCGAGAAGUUGCUUGAACCUUAUCAUUUAGAGGAAGGAGAAGUCGUANCA
RNAcentral lists this ribosomal RNA (321 nucleotides) under uncultured eukaryote. Its description in RNAcentral is "partial 18S ribosomal RNA". It matches the Rfam family "Eukaryotic small subunit ribosomal RNA", at positions 1470 to 1796 of the family's 1831-position model. The record is from RNAcentral.